UACGUAGGUGGCAAGCGUUGUCCGGAAUUAUUGGGCGUAAAGCGCGCGCAGGUGGUUUUUUAAGUCUGAUGUGAAAGCCCACGGCUCAACCGUGGAGGGUCAUUGGAAACUGGGGAACUUGAGUGCAGUAGAGGAAAGUGGAAUUCCAAGUGUAGCGGUGAAAUGCGUAGAGAUUUGGAGGAACACCAGUGGCGAAGGCGACUUUCUGGUCUGUAACUGACACUGAGGCGCGAAAGCGUGGGGAGCAAACGGG
RNAcentral lists this ribosomal RNA (253 nucleotides) under uncultured bacterium. RNAcentral describes it as "partial 16S ribosomal RNA". It matches the Rfam family "Bacterial small subunit ribosomal RNA", at positions 524 to 776 of the family's 1533-position model. The record is from RNAcentral.